This 440-nucleotide long non-coding RNA is filed under the name Carica papaya (papaya). RNAcentral describes it as "long non-coding RNA (CPAP_LNC005675)". The record is from RNAcentral. Lineage: Eukaryota; Viridiplantae; Streptophyta; Magnoliopsida; Brassicales; Caricaceae.
GUCAUGCUUUAACUGUUAGAAGUUAAAACAAAACCAAUGAAUUAAAUUAUUCCCCAAAAACCUAAGGAUUAAUAUGGUCAUAGCUAAGAUAAUAGUUCUUUAACUAGAAUAACUAUUUUCGAGAAAAUGUGAAUACAACACUAUUAAACCUAAUAUCUGAAACAAAGAAACACAACCAUAAACAAAAUCCUUGAAGGACAUAUGCUAGUAACAGACAUAUUAAUGUGACACUAGGGAAAUAUAAAAACAAUUACGUAUUGAAGACACCCUGAAACAAACAUACCUUUACAUGUAAGAAUUAGAAAAUAGGAUAUCACAACCUAAAACGUAUUCCUUAAACAACACAUUAUAACCACUCCAAUUUUUUGACGAGUAUGCCAAUAAAGUUCAUGGAUAGGUGUUUCUAGGUUUUUGCAAAUUAAAAUUUAGACUAAAUUUCU